UACAGAGGUCUCAAGCGUUGUUCGGAUUCAUUGGGCGUAAAGGGUGCGUAGGCGGCGCGGUAAGUCGGGUGUGAAAUCUCGGAGCUUAACUCCGAAACUGCAUUCGAUACUGCCGUGCUUGAGGACUGGAGAGGAGACUGGAAUUUACGGUGUAGCGGUGAAAUGCGUAGAUAUCGGGAGGAACACCAAUGGCGAAGGCAGCUCGCUGGGACGUUACUGACGCUGAGACGCGAAAGCGUGGGGAGCAAACAGG
RNAcentral lists this ribosomal RNA (253 nucleotides) under uncultured bacterium. RNAcentral's name for it is "partial 16S ribosomal RNA". It matches the Rfam family "Bacterial small subunit ribosomal RNA", at positions 524 to 776 of the family's 1533-position model. The record is from RNAcentral.